AAGAGUCAAUAUUACGAACUACAGUUUAAAAUUCUAAGACUUUGGCGGUGUCUUAUAAAACCAGGGGAACCUGUCCCAUAACUCGAUAGUCCACGACUACCUAACCUAUUUUUGAAAAUCAGCUUGUGUACUGCCGUUGUAAGCACACCCCUAAAAGAACUGAGUAUGCCCCUAUGACUACAUUACGUAUCUCACAGACAUCAGGUCAAAGUGCAGCUAAUAAAAAGGGGGAAGAUGGGUUACAACCCAAAAAAAGAAACGAACUAAGAACAUAAAAACUCUUAUAAAGGAGGACUUGACCGUAAUUAAUCAAUACUAUAAAUAAAUGAAUAACAACCUAAGACAUGUACACAUCGCCCG
Molecule: ribosomal RNA, 360 nt
Filed under: Terrisswalkerius phalacrus
Lineage: Eukaryota; Metazoa; Annelida; Clitellata; Crassiclitellata; Megascolecidae
Description: partial 12S ribosomal RNA
Rfam family: Bacterial small subunit ribosomal RNA
Source: RNAcentral